GAUGAACGCUGGCGGCGUGCCUAAUACAUGCAAGUCGAGCGAACAGAUGAGGAGCUUGCUCCUCUGACGUUAGCGGCGGACGGGUGAGUAACACGUGGAUAACCUACCUAUAAGACUGGGAUAACUUCGGGAAACCGGAGCUAAUACCGGAUAAUAUAUUGAACCGCAUGGUUCAAUAGUGAAAGACGGUUUUGCUGUCACUUAUAGAUGGAUCCGCGCCGCAUUAGCUAGUUGGUAAGGUAACGGCUUACCAAGCAACGAUGCGUAGCCGACCUGAGAGGGUGAUCGGCCACACUGGAACUGAGACACGGUCCAGACUCCUACGGGAGGCAGCAGUAGGGAAUCUUCCGCAAUGGGCGAAAGCCUGACGGAGCAACGCCGCGUGAGUGAUGAAGGUCUUCGGAUCGUAAAACUCUGUUAUUAGGGAAGAACAAAUGUGUAAGUAACUAUGCACGUCUUGACGGUACCUAAUCAGAAAGCCACGGCUAACUACGUG
Molecule: ribosomal RNA, 496 nt
Filed under: uncultured bacterium
Lineage: Bacteria
Description: partial 16S ribosomal RNA
Rfam family: Bacterial small subunit ribosomal RNA
Source: RNAcentral